RNAcentral lists this long non-coding RNA (397 nucleotides) under Gossypium raimondii (Peruvian cotton). RNAcentral describes it as "long non-coding RNA (GRAI_LNC006229)". Lineage: Eukaryota; Viridiplantae; Streptophyta; Magnoliopsida; Malvales; Malvaceae. The record is from RNAcentral.
AUCAACUCAAAUUUUCUUUUCAAAUUUCGAGUUCGAGUGGAGUUGAAUUUUUGAAUUCAAAUAACUCGAAUAAUUCAAACAAAUCGAAUACAAACUAUAUAAUUUUAAAUUUUAAAUUUUAAAUUUAUAUUCCCCACUCUCUAGCCCAAAUCCUUUUACAAUACUCAUUUCCCCCAAAGCUCAAACCUACCUUAUUUCCCCCUUCCCCCCCAAAAGCUCAUCUGCCAUCUUCCCAAUUUCCCCAAAAGUCAAGAUUCCAUCAAUAAUUUUCUUCUCCAAUUCAAACUUGAAACUCCCAAUCCCCAAAUACCAAAAAUUCUUCUUUAAAUAAACCCCAAAUUAAACCCCAAAUCAAUUCUUCUCCUCUUCUUCUUCUUUAAAAAAUCUUACAUUAAAC